CGCGUAGGCGGUACCUUAAGUCAGAUGUGAAAACCCGAGGCUCAACUUCGGAGGUGCAUUUGAAACUGGGGAACUUGAGUGCAGGAGAGGAAAGCGGAAUUCCUAGUGUAGCGGUGAAAUGCGUAGAUAUUAGGAGGAACACCAGUGGCGAAGGCGGCUUUCUGGACUGUAACUGACGCUGAGGCGCGAAAGCGUGGGGAGCAAACAGGAUUAGAUACCCUGGUAGUCCACGCUGUAAACGAUGGAUACUAGGUGUGGGAGGUAUCGACCCCUUCCGUGCCGCAGUAACGCAAUAAGUAUCCCGCCGUGGGGAGUACGGCCGCAAGGUUGAA
Molecule: ribosomal RNA, 332 nt
Filed under: uncultured bacterium
Lineage: Bacteria
Description: bacterial SSU rRNA
Rfam family: Bacterial small subunit ribosomal RNA
Source: RNAcentral